UACGUAGGGGGCAAGCGUUGUCCGGAAUCAUUGGGCGUAAAGCGCGCGCAGGCGGCCCGGUAAGUCCGUUGUGAAAGUCAAAGGCUCAACCUUUGAAUGCCGACGGAUACUGCCGGGCUAGAGUCCGGAAGAGGCGAGUGGAAUUCCUGGUGUAGCGGUGGAAUGCGCAGAUAUCAGGAGGAACACCUAUAGCGAAGGCAGCUCGCUGGGACGGUACUGACGCUGAGGCGCGAAAGCGUGGGGAGCGAACAGG
RNAcentral lists this ribosomal RNA (253 nucleotides) under uncultured bacterium. RNAcentral describes it as "partial 16S ribosomal RNA". It matches the Rfam family "Bacterial small subunit ribosomal RNA", at positions 524 to 776 of the family's 1533-position model. The record is from RNAcentral.